AACGAACGCUGGCGGCAUGCCUAACACAUGCAAGUCGAACGAGACCUUCGGGUCUAGUGGCGCACGGGUGCGUAACGCGUGGGAACCUGCCCUUAGGUUCGGAAUAACUCCCCGAAAGGGGUGCUAAUACCGGAUAAUGUCUUCGGACCAAAGAUUUAUCGCCUUUGGAUGGGCCCGCGUUGGAUUAGCUAGUUGGUAGGGUAAAAGCCUACCAAGGCGACGAUCCAUAGCUGGUCUGAGAGGAUGAUCAGCCACACUGGGACUGAGACACGGCCCAGACCCCUACGGGAGGCAGCAGUGGGGAAAAUUGGACAAGGGGCGAAAGCCUGAUCCAGAAAUGCCGGGGGAGUGAUGAAGGCCUUAGGGUUGAAAAGCUCUUUUCCCCGGGAUGAUAAUGACAGGACCGGGAGAAUAAGCCCCGGCAAACCCCGU
This 432-nucleotide ribosomal RNA is filed under the name uncultured bacterium. Its description in RNAcentral is "partial 16S ribosomal RNA". It matches the Rfam family "Bacterial small subunit ribosomal RNA", at positions 29 to 506 of the family's 1533-position model. The record is from RNAcentral.